Molecule: ribosomal RNA, 1994 nt
Filed under: Triticum aestivum (bread wheat)
Lineage: Eukaryota; Viridiplantae; Streptophyta; Magnoliopsida; Poales; Poaceae
Description: partial small subunit ribosomal RNA
Source: RNAcentral
CCGGUCAGGACAGACGGCACGGUGCCGGUGGAUGAGGCUAGGUGGGUUUGUUUGAAGGGGUCAAAAUUCGCGCUCGCUCGAGAAGACAGGCAGGAAGGGAGGGUGGCGUCCGGCUGCGCUGCCGCGCCCGAGGGGCAGGGAAGGCGUACCUCGGCGGCCGCGGAGGCGGGGAUGGCGGCGGCGUCGACGUGGACGCCCAUGACCUGUCGCAGUUCGAGAGGGGCCGCGGCGUCGGAGGCCGCAGCAGGGACGGCGAGAGGCCGGAGCUGCGGCUGGCGUUGCACGAGCUGCAGAGGAAGGCGUGGCAGGCGAAGAAGGGGCCGGUGGGCCAGAGGGAGCUGGGCGAGCUGCAGGAGGUCCGGCGCAAGCGGCUGCGCGAGCCGGAGAAGGGCGUCGAGCGGCCGAGGGAGGAGGCGCUGCUGCCGGCGCAGCACGAGAGGCCCUGGCCGCUGCUGCGGCACCGGGAGCAGGAGCGCCGCUGCCUGGACAGCCACCAGCUGCAGCUGCGCCUGUCCGGGCUGAGCGGCGACGAGCUGGCGGAGCGCGGCCCGCUGUCGCUGCCGCCUGGCCGUCGCGAACGCGAGGUCCAGUGCGCCAAGUGCACGCCGCCGCAGCGCGACCCCUACGCCCACCGCGUGCGCGAGACGCUGCCGCGCCCGAGGUGGUUCAAGGAGCAGCGCCGCCGCGCCAAGCGCGCUCCCGACCUCGGCCUCCGGCGCCGCCUCGGCCACACCCUGGCUGCCCUCGAGGAGCCGGGCUCCUUGGGCGGCGCCCACCACUGAGGCAAGCUGCGGCAGGAUAGCUGGCUGCUGCUGCAGCGCGCCGAACCGGGCAUGCCGCGCCGCUCGCUGCCCGUUCCUGUGCUCGCCGAGCGCUCCCUCACGAAGGUGCAGUCGCUGCGCGCGCACCUCCGCGAGUCCCGCGCCGAGCGGCGCCUGCGGCCGCAGUUCAAGUGCUGGAAGCUUCAAGAGCGGCGGAAGUAGACCGCGCGGUUCCACUUCCGGUUGGUUUGGUGGGGGCUGCUCUGGCACUUCUACCACAUGAGGUACUUGUAGUCGCGCGAGGAGCUGGGCGGCGACGGCCGCCCCAUGACCCCGUUGCACACGCACGGCCACAUGCACCGCGAGCGGCGCCCGCUGGAGCAGCCCGCCGGCGAACGCCUCUGCCGUAGGGACCAGUCCUUCUCGUUCGCCCCCCACCUGCUCCUCAUGCACGCCAGCAUGCAGCUGGACGUCCUCGACGCCGCGCCCCUCCCGCCGCAGUGCCGCCCCGCCGCGCCGCACUCGCGCAAGUGCCUGACCGCCGCCGACCCCGUGAGCCUCCACCUGAAGCCCACCCCGCCCGGGCUGCGGCACGACGGCGAGAGCACCGCAGACGAGCCCUCGUGCGUCGGCACGAAGGACGACGGGAUGCCGCGGCCCCUGCUCUCCGCCGCCGCUCCCAAGUUCCACAAGCAGCGCCACGGCCUCCUCCGCCACGGGGCCAAGUCUCUCCUCUACCUGCACUAUGACACCGUCCUGCUCGUGUGACCGACGUGGAGUCAGCCCUUUGACAUUUAAACCCCUAGCGCUCUUUAGCAGGUGUAAACGUGGCGCUCCAGGUGCUCUUUAACCUACUCUGCUGCACGAUGCUAGCUAUUCCUUGCUGUACGAUGUUGAUUGUUCUGCCUACAACGGUGACGAUCCCUUUUUACAACGUAUGCAACUCUGUUUUACGACUUUUUUUUACUUCUACCUGUCAUGGCCAAAGAGCCUCCGGCCGCGAGAAGCCACAAAAAAAAUCGUUGGAGAUGUUACCCGAACUCGAGGAAAAGCCGCGGAAUUCGCUGGCUUUUCCAACGACCGCGGGUAUCGUCGUGGAACACCCGGCCGGUCGCUUCCCUUUUGCGUCGAUUGUUUUAAGCCGUCUUUUUGCGUUUUUCACCGAAGAAGUCCUCAGUUUGAGCUCAGCGGGCGCUUCCGCUCGGAAGAAGAUCGAAUCGAUUGGUUGUGUCG